UGGUCUCUGGAAUAUUAAUUUUUCCUGCCCGUUUUUUGAAAUUCACAGUUUUGUCCUGUGCUUGGUUUCUGGAAUAUUUUUUCCCCUGCCUGGUCUUUGAAGUUUACAAGUUUAUCCUAUGCUUAAUUUCUGGAAAGAUUUUUUCAUGCUUGGGUUCUGGAAUCUGGAAUUUUUUUCCUGUGCUUAUUUUCUGGAAUUUUUCCUGAGUGGCUUCUGGAAUCUGCACAUUCUCCCUCCCUACCCCCACCCCCAAUUAGUUUUUGGAGUCUUUUUCUGUGCUUAGUUUCUGGAAUACUACUCACCUCCCCUCCUCAUUUCAUUUUUGGAAUAUUAAAUUUUUCUGGCUUAUUUCUGGAAUUUUUUCAUUUGUUUUCCCCCUGGAACCUAAAAUGAAAUUGUCUUCCCACCCCAACUUGGUUUAUGGAAUGUGGAUUUUUUUCCCACUUGGUGGCCAUAUGUACAGAUUCUUAAUUUUGUGUUGGUAAGUAUCGAUUGGUAAGUAUAAUACAAAUUUGUAUUCUUUUUGUGGCUUUGGUAAGUGCCGCUUUUUCUCUAGGUAUUGACCACAACAAUUUUAUGUGCCUUCUGGGACAUUCAAGCCUUCUAGCUAUUUUGUGGAAUACAAAUUAUUUGGCUGCUGGGAGACUGAACCCGUCCUCCUUGGUUUUAUGGAAGACAAGUUGUUGUUUUUUUUUUUCAAAAAUUUGUGGAAUGAAAACUUGUUUAUCAGCUCAGACAUCCAAUCAUUCCCUCGUUUUCUGUGGAAUACAAACUUUCUUAAAAAUUUGACAGCUGGGAGCUCUAAUCCUCCUACCUUGGUUUCUUGAAUAAAUGGUUUUGUUUUAUUGGUGACUGGGAGAGCCAAACAUCCCCCUUGAUCAGUGGAAUACAAAUUUUAAAAAAUUGGCGGCUGGAAGAGCCAAUCGCCUUCCUUAUCUGUGGAAUACAAAUUUUUAAAAUUUUCCUGAUGUUAGAUACAAUCAUCCCCCUUGAUCUGUGAAAUAAAUGUUUCCAAAUUGGCAUUUAGGAGAUCCAAUCAUCCCUUUGAUUUGUGGAAUACAAGGUUAUAUAUUUGGCAUCUGGGCAAUAUAACUGUCCCUCUCGGUUUUGGAAUACAAUUUUUAAAAAAUUGGCUAAGAUUUAAUCAUCUACCUUUGUGGAAUACAAUUUUUCUUUUUUGAUUUGGCACCUGGAGAUCAAAUACAAGUGUUAGUUUUGUUUUGUUUUAAUUUGUCAGCUAAGAGAUGGAUCCAGUCAUCUUUAAUUUGUGGAAUACAAAUUUUUUAAAUUUGGCAGCUGGGAGAUCUAAUUAUCUCUUGCUUUCUGGAAUAAGAUUUCUCCCCCAACUUGUCAGCUGGGAGAUCUCUUAGUUUGUAGAAUACAAGUUUGGGGUUUUUGUUUUGUUUUGUUAUGUUUUUUACUUGGUAGUUAGGCAAUCCAAUCAUACUCCUUGAUUUGUGGAAUACAAAAUUUUAAAAUUUGGCAGCUGGGACACAGAUCAUCCCGCUUCAUUUGUGGAAUAGAAGUGUUGGGUUAAAAAUAAAAUUGGCCCUUAGGAGAUCCAAUUGUCUUUCUUGAUUUGUGGAAUACAAUAACUUUAAAAUUUGGCUACUGGGAGAGGUAAUCAAUGUCAGUGGUUUGUGGAACAGAAGUUUGGUUUUUUAAUUUGGCAAGAAAUGUUUUUCUUUGAUUUUAGUGGCUGGUCAUUCUAAGUAUAUCACUUGGUUUUUAGAAUAAAAGUUUGUAAAUUGGCAGCUGGGAGAUCUCCUUGGUUUAUGAAAUACAAGUUGGUUUUUUUGGGGCAACUCUUGGAUGCAGUUGACCCUUUUAGAUUACAAAAUAAUCUGUUAUUUGUUUUAAUUGGCUGUUGGGAGAACCAGUCAACUCCCUUGGUUUAUGCAAUACAAAUUUUUGCUGCUUAAUUGGUAUCUAGGAGAUCUAGUCGAAGCCCUUGGAUUAUGUAAUACUAGUUGCUUUAAUUGGCUAAUGGGAGAUCUAAUCAGUCUCCUUGGUUUAUGUAAUACAAGUUGUUUUCAUUGGCAGCUGGAGUCCCAUGAUUUGUGCUGUAUAGUUGUUGCUGAUUUAAUUGGCAGCUAGGAGAUCCAAGGAGGGGAUUACCUCUUGGAUUGUGUAAUGCAGUAGAAAUGGUUAUUUAACUGGGACCUGGGAGAUCUAGUCGAUUCCCUUGGUUUAGGCAAUAUAUACAAGCAGCUGGGACAUCCAGUGACCUACUUGUUUUAAGUAAUAUAGAUCUUUGUUGGUUUAAUUGGCAUUUGGGAGAUCCAAUUAUGCGCCUUGCUUCAUGGAAUAAAGGUAGUGUGUUUUUGGUUUGUCCUUAUUUUAGAAGCUGGUAGAUCCCCUUGGUUUAUGUGAUAGAAGUAGUCUUUAAACUACUGAUCUGGAUUUCCAGUUGUCCCCUUUGGUUUAUGGAAUACAAGUUUGUUUUUAUAAUUUGGCUGGAGGCUCCAAUUUUCUCUUUCUGAUUUGCUGUGAUAUUUAAUCACCCAUCUUGGUUUGUGGAAUAUGGUAACAAUUUGUGGAAUAUGUUAUUGGUUUGUGGAAUAUGUUAUUUUCUUUGGCAGCUGGGAGAUAUAAUCAUCUCAAUUAUUUUGUGGAAUACCAGUUCUUAUCCUUGUGGAAUACAAAAUUUCCUUGGGCAUCCUUCCUGGUUUAUGGAAUACAAGUUCAUCUUUGUGGAAUACAAUUUUUUUUUUGGGUUAUCUCCCUUUUUGUGGAAUACAAAUUUUUAUUUGGCAGUUGGAAGAUCUGUUGGCCCCAUUUGGUUUAUUUCCUGGCUGGAAGAAUGAACCAUCCUCCUUGGUUUGUGGAAUACAAGUUAUUUUUUUUAAGGGUUUGGUUUUUGUUUUGGUUUUUUUGGUGUUUUUCUUUUGUGGGUAGCUGCCUGGAAGAUCUCAUCAUCCUCCUUGGUUUGGAAUACAAAAUUUAUUGGUCAUCUUCAUCUGUGGAAUACAAGUUUUUUUGUUUGUUUUUUUUGUUGUUGUUGUUUUGGUGCUUGGAAGAAAUCAUCCUUGGUUUGGAAUACAAAAUUUAUUGGUCAUCUUCAUCUGUGGAAUACAAGUUGUUUUUUUUUUGUUUGUUUUUGUCUUUUUUUUUUUGUUUUGGUGCUUGGAAGAAAUCAUCCUUGGUUUGGAAUACAAAAUAUAUCGUUCCUCUUCAUUUGUGGAAUACAAGUUUUUUUGGUGGUUUGAUGCUUCAAAGAUCUCAUCAUCCUUGAUUUGUGGAAUACAAAAUUUAUCAUUCUUCAUUUGUGGAAUACAAAGUCUUUCGGGGGGUUUAUUUGGUGCAUCCUUGGUUUGGAAUACAAAAUUUAUUGUUCUUUGUGGAAUACAAGGGACUUUUUUUUUUGUGCUUUGAAGAUCUCAUCAUCCUCCUUGGUUUGGAAUACAAAAUUUAUUGUUCUUUGUGGAAUACAAGGGACUUUUUUUUGUGCUUCUAAGAUCUCAUCAUCCUCCUUGGUUUGUGGAAUACAAAAUUUAUUUCUCAUUUGUAGAAUACAAGGUCUUUCGGGGGGUUUGUUUGGUGCUUGGAAGAUCUCAUCAUCGUCCUUGGCUUGUGGAAUACAAUUCAUUUGUGGAAUACAAGUUCUAUGGGUUGUUUGGGUGUUUUUUUUUUUUUUUUGGUCAUUUUUUUGGUGCUUGGAAGAUCUUAUCCUGGUUUGGAAUACAAUUUUUUUUGUAGAAUUUUUUUUUUGGCCUUUUGGUUUUGUUUCCUUUUUUGUGCUUGGAAGAUUUCAUCAUCCUUGGUUUGGAAUACAAAAUUUAUCGCUCCUCAUUUGUGGAAUAUAAGGUGUUUUUUUUUUUCAGGGUGCUUUUUGUUUUUUGGUGCUUGAAAGAUCUCAUCAUCCUCCCUGGUUUGGAAUACAAUUAUUCUUUGUGGAGUACGUGUUUUUUGGUUUUUAUUUUUUUGUGUGCGUGUGCUUGGAAGAUUUCAUCCUUGUUUUGGAAUACAGAAUUUAUUGUCCUUUGUGGAAUACAAGUCUUUUUGGUGCCUUGGGUUUUUUUGUUUUGGGGUUUUUGUUUUUUUUGUUUUUGUUUUUUGAUGCUUGAAGAUCUCAUUCUCCUCCUUGGUUGGAAUACAAAAUUUGCCAUUCUUCAUGGAAUACAAGUUUUUUGGGGUGUUUGUUUUUUGGUGCUUGGAAGAUCUCAUCAUUUUUCAUGGUCUGGAAUACAAAAAAACUAUCAUUCCUUUUUGGGUUUGUAUGGUGCUUGGAAGAUCCAAUCCUCUUUGAUUUGUGGAAUAUAAUUUUUUUUUGUGGUGCUUGGUAUUGGUAAGUAGAAUUGGGUUGGUAAGUGGCAACAUCCCACUUCAGGUAAGUGCCAAUUUUUUUUCUUGAUUAUUUGGGAUAUGUAAAUAUUCUAAAGGAUCCCUGGGCAGGGUAGAGAGAAGGAAGAUGACUAAAAAGUCAUCUACUUAGGAAGUUUCCACUUAGGAGAAGUUAUUUCAGAGUAAGAGGAAAAUUACACUUAAGGCAUGAAUCCCUAUCCUUUUUCAUAAAGGUGAAAGUAACAUUACUGGAUAUGGAAUCAGGUGGAAUUAAGAGGCCGGAAUCUUUACUCUGUCACCUAGACAGUGUCUGCAUGACAGGUUUCCACUUAGCGGAAAGUGUAUUGCAAAAUAGGAGAAAAAAUGUUAUACUUAGAACACAACCUCCCCACUCACUUUUAUAAAGCUGAUAGUAAUGUUACAGGAUUUGGAAUCAGGUGGAAAUUAGAAGUCCUUGCUUUGACUAGUCUGUCACUUUCUCUCUGGGCCUCCCUUUACUCCUUUUUAACUUUCAGCAGUCUGCAGUAAAAGACACGUCUAAAUAUACAAAUAAUAUUUCAAAAGUACCUUCCCAGCCCUUAUGACUGUGCAUUAAUAUGUAUAAUUUGUUUUCCAGGUGUGGUACAAGCCCUGCAUUGAAAAGCCCAAGCAGCCCUCCAGGUUAUUGGUUGGAUCCUUUCAUUGUGGAUUUCUGGACCAGGAUCAUACAUGUUGAAGUCACAAUCCCGUCCUGUUGCUGAGGAGACCUACCACAGCUGCUCUGGGACCAGAGAAGAGGAAUACGGAGAAGAGGAACAUCCACCAAGAAGACCUUUUGUUAAUUUCUUCAAUAAUUAUAUGUCCUUUGUUAUAAGUACAAAUCCCCUCCAUAGACUGUAAGCUUUGAGAGGGCAGGCUAUUUAUUUAUCGCUGCUGGACCACCUUUUGUUAGUUUCCCCUCCUUCCCCAUUAGAUCGUGCUUGUGUGACCUCCCCUGUUGCUUCAACAACCUUCUGUACACUUGCUGCUUUCCUCACCUUUUCCCCCAGAUCAUGUAAUCAUGUAAUAAACGGUUUCUUUUUAAAAGAA
Molecule: long non-coding RNA, 5352 nt
Organism: Trichosurus vulpecula (common brushtail)
Lineage: Eukaryota; Metazoa; Chordata; Mammalia; Diprotodontia; Phalangeridae
Exons: 2
Source: RefSeq, a predicted model, not a curated record